AGGAAUGUAGUUAAAUUUUAUAACAUUUAUUUUGCUUUUAAAUAUUAAUUUUUAAAAAAUUUAUUCUUA
RNAcentral lists this transfer RNA (69 nucleotides) under Eupelmus anpingensis. RNAcentral describes it as "tRNA-Ala". The record is from RNAcentral. Lineage: Eukaryota; Metazoa; Arthropoda; Insecta; Hymenoptera; Eupelmidae.